ACGCCGUAAACGAUGAGUGCUAGGUGUUAGGCCCUUUCCGGGGCUUAGUGCCGCAGCUAACGCAUUAAGCACUCCGCCUGGGGAGUACGACCGCAAGGUUGAAACUCAAAGGAAUUGACGGGGGCCCGCACAAGCGGUGGAGCAUGUGGUUUAAUUNGAAGCAACGCGAAGAACCUUACCAGGUCUUGACAUCCCGAUGCCCGCUCUAGAGAUAGAGUUUUACUUCGGUACAUCGGUGACAGGUGGUGCAUGGUUGUCGUCAGCUCGUGUCGUGAGAUGUUGGGUUAAGUCCCGCAACGAGCGCAACCCUUAUUGUUAGUUGCCAUCAUUCAGUUGGGCACUCUAGCGAGACUGCCGGUAAUAAACCGGAGGAAGGUGGGGAUGACGUCAGAUCAUCAUGCCCCUUAUGACCUGGGCUACACGCGUGCUACAAUGGCUGGUACAACGAGUCGCAAGUCGGUGACGGCAAGCUAAUCUNUUAAAGCCAGUCUCAGUUCGGAUUGUAGGCUGCAACUCGCCUACAUGAAGUCGGAAUCGCUAGUAAUCGCGGAUCAGCACGCCGCGGUGAAUACGUUCCCGGGCCUUGUACACACCGCCCGUCACACCACGAGAGUUUGUAACACCCGAAGUCGGUGAGGUANCCUU
Molecule: ribosomal RNA, 645 nt
Filed under: uncultured bacterium
Lineage: Bacteria
Description: bacterial SSU rRNA
Rfam family: Bacterial small subunit ribosomal RNA
Source: RNAcentral